Molecule: ribosomal RNA, 587 nt
Filed under: uncultured bacterium
Lineage: Bacteria
Description: bacterial SSU rRNA
Rfam family: Bacterial small subunit ribosomal RNA
Source: RNAcentral
CUCCUACGGGAGGCAGCAGUGGGGAAUUUUGGACAAUGGGCGCAAGCCUGAUCCAGCAAUGCCGCGUGAGUGAAGAAGGCCUUCGGGUUGUAAAGCUCUUUUGUCAGGGAAGAAACGGUGAGGGCUAAUAUCCUUUGCUAAUGACGGUACCUGAAGAAUAAGCACCGGCUAACUACGUGCCAGCAGCCGCGGUAAUACGUAGGGUGCAAGCGUUAAUCGGAAUUACUGGGCGUAAAGCGUGCGCAGGCGGUUUUGUAAGUUUGUCGUGAAAUCCCCGGGCUCAACCUGGGAAUGGCGAUGAAGACUGCAAGGCUAGAAUCUGGCAGAGGGGGGUAGAAUUCCACGUGUAGCAGUGAAAUGCGUAGAGAUGUGGAGGAACACCGAUGGCGAAGGCAGCCCCCUGGGUCAAGAUUGACGCUCAUGCACGAAAGCGUGGGGAGCAAACAGGAUUAGAUACCCUGGUAGUCCACGCCCUAAACGAUGUCUACUAGUUGUCGGGUUUUAAUUAACUUGGUAACGCAGCUAACGUGUGAAGUAGACCGCCUGGGGAGUACGGUCGCAAGAUUAAAACUUAAAGGAAUUGACGG